Manis pentadactyla (Chinese pangolin) is the source of this 380-nucleotide long non-coding RNA. RefSeq lists it as uncharacterized. The transcript is spliced from 2 exons. Lineage: Eukaryota; Metazoa; Chordata; Mammalia; Pholidota; Manidae. The record is from RefSeq and is a predicted model, not a curated record.
UCUCCUUGCUCAGCUGCUUUGCAAUAAAGCUCUUUUCUUUUGCAAAAGCUGGUGUCCUGCAUUUGGGUUAUGGUGCCCAAUGGGCAGUGGACCCUUGUUCAGGCAUAUGAGGAAUGAGUCUUCAAAUGCCAAAGGCCCUUCAAGAGGGCACACAGAGAGGACGGUCCCUGAAUAAUGAAGAAUCAUGGCAUUUUAAUAGCAGUGGUGAAAGUUUCUUUGGGAAAUGAGGUGUUGGUGAAGAGCCCAAUGGACACAUCCAUGAACCUGUCCUGCAGCAGUACCCACGAGGCCACGCGGGCAGCUGGAGGUGAUGGUCUCUAAGGACCGAGAACUACUCAAAUCCCACCCUAGAGCCAACAAUAAAGUCCUUGAAAACCGUG